GAGGGUAUAGCUUAGUGGUAGAGUGCGUGCUUAGCAUGCUUGAGGUCCUGGGUUCAAUCCCCAGUACUUCCA
This 72-nucleotide transfer RNA is filed under the name Camelus bactrianus (Bactrian camel). It matches the Rfam family "tRNA". Rfam says of the family: Transfer RNA (tRNA) molecules are approximately 80 nucleotides in length. Lineage: Eukaryota; Metazoa; Chordata; Mammalia; Artiodactyla; Camelidae. The record is from Rfam by way of RNAcentral. RNAcentral also lists the same sequence under 2 other names.